CUGGCAUGCACCUGUAGUCCCAGCUAUUUGGGGGCUGAGACAGGAGGAUUACUUGAGCCCAGGAGUUCAAGGCUGCAGUGAGCUAUUAUUGCACCACUGCAUUCCAGCCCGGGCAACACAGCGAGACACCAACUCUUAAAAAAAAAAAAAUAGUGGUAUAUUGGUGGUGGUGGUAUUAAUAGUGGUAGUGGUAGUAGUAGUAGCAGUAUUAAUAGUGGUAAUCAUGGUAAUAGUAGUGGCAUUAGUGGUGGUUGUAGUGAUAGUAACACUAGUGGUGGUGGUGGUAGUGGCAAUAGUAGUGGUAUUAAUGGUGGUAGGCGUGACCAUAGCACUAGUCAUGUAGUGGUAGUAAUGGUAGUAUUAAUAGAGGUUGUAAUGGUUGUUGUAGUAGUGAUAUUAACCGUGAUAGAAGUGGUGGUAGCAGUAGUAAUGGUAGUGGUUGCAGAGUAGGGUAUUAGUCGUGGUGGCAGGAAUUGAGUGGUGGUAGUAAGUAGUGGCAGUACCGGGGUGAUUUUAAUGUUGACGUGUCCUGAAGGCAUGGUGGAAUUUGAGGAUGUCAAGUGGGCUUGUUAACUUAAGGUACUUCCACUCUGGGAGACGGGGUGAGUAUAGCAGUGGGAGAGGGAUGCAACGUAAACCUGUAUUCUGGGCACCCAGUUGUCCUUACGAGCAGGAGAGCUGUAAUUCCCAGGCACAGCCACAAGGCGGGGGCAAUGAUUUGGCAUUCAUGACAUCGGAACACGCCUAGGGAAAAAUAACUGGCUCAGGAGCUGGGAGCACCCUGAGGACCCUAGGAGACUCCCGGGAGAUGAAGGAGAGUUGGUUGGCUGAGCUUCAGAAACAGUUUGAUCCUUGGGGUUUAAGACAGACAUCAGCAGAGCAGGGUCAGCCACAGGAAAGCAGGAAGGGAAAGUGCAAAAUGGGACGAGAGCAACAGGGGUGACCCCAAAACUGUGGUUCUCAACUUGUUUCCACCUGAGUGACAACAUUGGGACAGGGACCCUCUAUUAUGUGGUGGGUGUCCGAGAGUUUGAGGACCACUGAUCUGGACCAGAACAUGGUGGCCAGAGGACGCAGAGAGAAAGUUUAAAAGGUAACUUUCGUGAUGACAUACUCCUGCAAAGAUGGCGUGGGACAUAAUUCUCAUGGAUGGAGGUGAACAUGACUGUCCCUUGAUACAAGGGGUAGAAUUGAUUGGGUUGCUGUUGUCCUUUGAGAAUCACCACCCGACUCUAUGUGGCUGUUUCUUCAAUUGCAAAAUGAGAGAGCAUGUUUCCUUUUUAAUCAGCAAUAUUACCCUUAAGGAAACCUUGAAGGGCAGUUCUAUUAUUAAAUAUCUCAAGCACA
This 1347-nucleotide long non-coding RNA is filed under the name Homo sapiens (human). RNAcentral describes it as "HSALNT0240130". The record is from RNAcentral. Lineage: Eukaryota; Metazoa; Chordata; Mammalia; Primates; Hominidae.